UAAAUCAUAUAUAUUGUGAUGGCCUCGUGGUUAGUGUGCUUGCUUCAAAGCCUCAUGUCGUGAGUUCGAUCCCGAGUUGUAGCACCAUAUUUUGAUCUUUCUUUAAAAGAAAUGUGAAACUAGGCCGGGCCAAAUGCCGAGCGGAGGCGUCCGUUAGCAAAAAUAGGCGUCAAAUAGGAAAUGCCGAGACUCCUUCGUAAAGCUCAUCUUAGAGAAGCAGAAAAAAAAACAGUCUAACAGGUUGGAAACUCUAGGCGAUCAGUGACUGCGUGCUGGGUGUCUCCUUCAACUUCUCCUUUGGAGGUUGGAAAUCCUAUAUGGUCAGCAACUGCGCACGUUGUAGUUGUUGGCUCUCCUUCAUCUUCUCCUUUGGUAUGACCUUGUCGUGGAUUUGCGUAACCUUCCAGCAAUCCGCUUGGAGGACAAAUAGUGACCCAGCUUUCGGUACAAAUGCAUGCUUCACAACGAGCUACUUAGACAUCAAACUUAUCAGGUUUUGCAGUAAUUAAUACACUCUCCGUAAAAUAAUAUAAGAGUGUUUAGAUCGCCUCUCCUUUAGCGGCCCCUCCGUCCCCUAGCUUAGAUGACACGGGCGGCGACUCCAACCCCGGCCGCGAGCAGCGUCCCUCACCAGCUCGUACCCCUCGCCGCAGCCAGUGGCCAC
Molecule: long non-coding RNA, 664 nt
Filed under: Hordeum vulgare
Lineage: Eukaryota; Viridiplantae; Streptophyta; Magnoliopsida; Poales; Poaceae
Description: long non-coding RNA (HVUL_LNC011930)
Source: RNAcentral